GAUGAACGCUGGCGGCGUGCCUAAUACAUGCAAGUCGAGCGAACGGACGAGAAGCUUGCUUCUCUGAUGUUAGCGGCGGACGGGUGAGUAACACGUGGAUAACCUACCUAUAAGACUGGGAUAACUUCGGGAAACCGGAGCUAAUACCGGAUAAUAUUUUGAACCGCAUGGUUCAAAAGUGAAAGACGGUCUUGCUGUCACUUAUAGAUGGAUCCGCGCUGCAUUAGCUAGUUGGUAAGGUAACGGCUUACCAAGGCAACGAUGCAUAGCCGACCUGAGAGGGUGAUCGGCCACACUGGAACUGAGACACGGUCCAGACUCCUACGGGAGGCAGCAGUAGGGAAUCUUCCGCAAUGGGCGAAAGCCUGACGGAGCAACGCCGCGUGAGUGAUGAAGGUCUUCGGAUCGUAAAACUCUGUUAUUAGGGAAGAACAUAUGUGUAAGUAACUGUGCACAUCUUGACGGUACCUAAUCAGAAAGCCACGGCUAACUACGUGCCAGCAGCCGCGGUAAUACGUAGGUGGCAAGCGUUAUCCGGAAUUAUUGGGCGUAAAGCGCGCGUAGGCGGUUUUUUAAGUCUGAUGUGAAAGCCCACGGCUCAACCGUGGAGGGUCAUUGGAAACUGGAAAACUUGAGUGCAGAAGAGGAAAGUGGAAUUCCAUGUGUAGCGGUGAAAUGCGCAGAGAUAUGGAGGAACACCAGUGGCGAAGGCGACUUUCUGGUCUGUAACUGACGCUGAUGUGCGAAAGCGUGGGGAUCAAACAGGAUUAGAUACCCUGGUAGUCCACGCCGUAAACGAUGAGUGCUAAGUGUUAGGGGGUUUCCGCCCCUUAGUGCUGCAGCUAACGCAUUAAGCACUCCGCCUGGGGAGUACGACCGCAAGGUCGAAACUCAAAGGAAUUGACGGGGACCCGCACAAGCGGUGGAGCAUGUGGUUUAAUUCGAAGCAACGCGAAGAACCUUACCAAAUCUUGACAUCCUUUGACAACUCUAGAGAUAGAGCUUUCCCCUUCGGGGGACAAAGUGACAGGUGGUGCAUGGUUGUCGUCAGCUCGUGUCGUGAGAUGUUGGGUUAAGUCCCGCAACGAGCGCAACCCUUAAGCUUAGUUGCCAUCAUUAAGUUGGGCACUCUAAGUUGACUGCCGGUGACAAACCGGAGGAAGGUGGGGAUGACGUCAAAUCAUCAUGCCCCUUAUGAUUUGGGCUACACACGUGCUACAAUGGACAAUACAAAGGGCAGCGAAACCGCGAGGUCAAGCAAAUCCCAUAAAGUUGUUCUCAGUUCGGAUUGUAGUCUGCAACUCGACUACAUGAAGCUGGAAUCGCUAGUAAUCGUAGAUCAGCAUGCUACGGUGAAUACGUUCCCGGGUCU
This 1372-nucleotide ribosomal RNA is filed under the name uncultured bacterium. RNAcentral's name for it is "bacterial SSU rRNA". It matches the Rfam family "Bacterial small subunit ribosomal RNA", at positions 28 to 1381 of the family's 1533-position model. The record is from RNAcentral.